This is a long non-coding RNA of Myotis daubentonii (Daubenton's bat), 2550 nucleotides long. RefSeq lists it as uncharacterized. The record is from RefSeq and is a predicted model, not a curated record. Lineage: Eukaryota; Metazoa; Chordata; Mammalia; Chiroptera; Vespertilionidae.
CCUCCUGACAGCUCGCGCACGCGCCCGGCCCGCCUCCCUCCCGAGCCCGCCGCCGGGGCCCCGUCGCCCAGGGGUCCGGAAGGCGUGUCCCCGCCGAUUUUUAAAAAUGACUUAGGAGCCACCGCACUCCGCUCUGGGGCCGGCCACGGGUCUUCGGACAGAGCGGCCCCUGUUACUGCCGGUGCCCUGCGGGGCCUUUGGCUGCUCCUCUGCGCGGAGCCCCGCUUCGCACUUGCCGGUGCUUUUCCCCGGCAGCCAUGAGCGCCGACCCGGGGUCGCCCGGGAUGCGCUUCCCGCACCGCCGGGGAGCCUGGGAGCCCUGCGCGGUGGGCGUGGGGUCCGGCGUAGUGAUGUCUGCGUGCGGUGCAGAUAGGGACGUCGAGUCGAGAGCGACCGAGGAGCUUCGAGUGGCUGGGGCGGUAACCCAGGGGCGCACAACCAGUGAUUUCUAAUCUGAAACCAGUGGUUUCCAACCUGUUCAGCCAAGAAACGCUGAGACGUGAAAUCGCGUUGCAGCUUCGUGGGUACAAACAGAGGCCCUGGGUCCACAGAUGAGUGUUUGGUUCCAACCCAGCUUCCCGCGCGCACUCGCUGGAGGGCCCGGGGACCAGGACUCCACCUCUCCAGGCGCGCAGAGCCCCCGCCUGCCAAACGGAGGUAGCGCACCGUCUCCGGGGGUCUAGGAACUCUUUCCUCCCGAGACUGCGAGAUAUAAAAUAAUCAGAACGGCCAGCCACCUACCUCCCAAGCGGAUUAACGGUGAGGGGCCUGGCCGGUGUGGCUCGGUUGAGCGACGUCCCAUGAAUCAAAAGGUCACCAGUUUGUUUCCAGUCAGAGCACAUACCCGGUUUGCAGGUCUCAGCCCCCGUUGGGGCGUUUGGGGUGCAUACAGGAGGCAACCCAUCAACUGGUUAGUGUUCCUCUCUCCUUCCUCCCUUCCUCUCUCCUUCUAAAAUCAAUAAAAAUGUAUAUUUUAAAUUAAAUAAAUAAAAAUAAAUGUAUUGCUAGGCUCCAAUUUGAUCUCUAGUCUCCUAUACUGUCUUCAUAGAGAUUUGGGUUUGAAAUAUCAACUCUUUUGAUAAGAAAACAAAUGGCAAUUAUACCUUAUUACAACUGGAGAAUAUUAACCCUUUAAUUACUUAAAAUAUGCCCAAUAUUAUUAAUCACAUUAGGUCCAAACUACAAAUUCUGCUACUAGUGGCAACCUUUGGUGGAUCCUGCAAAGUUAGAGGAAAUAGAAAAAAAAAUAAAUGCACUUGACUAAAGAGAACAAGGCUGAAAGCCAGGUUUAGGAGAACAGUUUUUCCGGCCCCUCCAGGCCUUUCCAGCCAAUACCUUACAGUGUAACGCCCCUUGGAAAAUGUUGCCUAGGACAAGCAGGCAGAACUUGUUCUGUUACUGAACAUGUCUGUUUCCAGUUACAGUAGCAGGAGUAUGCAAAUGAUCUUUUCUUGAAACAGAUCAUGCGUCUAAACAGAAUUACCAACAGAGCAGUUUUCACAGAAUUUGAAAACUGUCUAAAAAGUACGUCAUUUUAAGUCUCUGUAUAAUUAGUGUUCCCCCUUUGAUUUCUCUCAAUUUCAAACUAAUGACCGGCACAACCAAACCCCUGAGAAAACUAUACCUCCUCAACCUCGCAGAUACCACUGGUAUGUAACUCUGUAAAACUCACAUAAUGAUUUCUGAGUGAAAAGAAGCAAGGAAUAAGAACCAGCUUUAAGCCCUUAAAAUUUGUUUUCCAGAAACUAAAAGCCAGAAGUCUUCUAUUUUGUAAACUAUUUAAGUGUUUGAUCACUAUUAUAUUAUUAAAUGAAAUUAAGACUAUUCCUGGUCAUUCCGUUUUUAAAAGCCUAUUAUUACAUUCAAAUUUAAAACAAGGGAUUCUCAAAAAUGGUACUUCACUUAAAAAGUAAACAAUAUUUCAAAGCAUUGCAAACUGCCUUUAAAAAUGAAACUGCCCUGACCGGUUUGGCUCAAUGGAUAGAGCAUCGGCCUGUGGACUGAAGGGUCCCAGGUUCGAUUCCAGUCAAGGACAUGUACCUUGGUUGCGGGCACAUUCCCAGUAGGGCGUGUGCAGGAGGCAGCUGAUCGAUGUUUCUCUCUCAUCGAUGUUUCUAACUCUCUAUCCCUUUCCCUUCCUCUCUGUAAAAAAUCAAUAAAAUAUAUUAAAAAAAAAUGAAACUGCACUUAAAAACUACCUUUCCCUUUAACAACCAGUUUCAUACUGAAGUGAGAAUCAGUUAACUGUCUUUGGUAUUUCUCUUGAUACAUAAAAGAAAGGAUCACAUUCCUAGCAUGUUCUUUCAGACUGCUGAUUUUUAAAAUGCUUUCUGGAAAAUUUUAUUUGCUAACACAUUAGUUACUCAGAUUCUGGGCUUUUUAACUUUUUGAAAAAAUUAAAAUGAUAAGAACUAGAAAGCCAUGGUAUAGUGUGAGAAGCACAGGUCCAACUCUGAAGCAGCUGAGGCUCCAGUCCUGGUUACUAAAGGUGCCUGCCAAAAAUUAUGCCACUAUGCCAUGACCUGUUUGGCUCAGUGGAUAGAGUGUGAG